CACCAGCCCCUCGAGUGAUGGGGAUGAUUAUUUGGCCUAAAGCGUCCGUAGCCGGCCGGGUAAGUUUUCCGUUAAAUCCAGCGUCUCAAGCGUUGGACUGCGGGAAAUACUGCUUGGCUAGAGAGUGGGAGAGGUAAGCGGUAUUCUGGGGGUAGGGGCGAAAUCCUUUGAUCCCCGGAGGACCACCAGUGGCGAAGGCUGCUUACUAGAACACGUCUGACGGUCAGGGACGAAAGCUGGGGUAGCGAACCGGAUUAGAUACCCGGGUAGUCCCGGCCGUAAACGAUGCAUGCUAGGUGUUGGGUUGGCCACGAGCUACCCCGGUGCCGCAGGGAAGCCGUUAAGCAUGCCGCCUGGGAAGUACGAUCGCAAGGUUGAAACUUAAAGGAAUUGGCGGGGGAGCACCACCAGGCGUGAAGCCCGCGGUUU
RNAcentral lists this ribosomal RNA (429 nucleotides) under uncultured archaeon. RNAcentral describes it as "bacterial SSU rRNA". It matches the Rfam family "Archaeal small subunit ribosomal RNA", at positions 474 to 903 of the family's 1478-position model. The record is from RNAcentral.